UUUGUUAUAAAAGGGAACAAUUUGAGAUUAUAAAACACUUUGUUUUGUUUCGAUGAAAACCAUUUAUCCUCACUACCAAAAAAAAAUUAAAACAAUUUAUCCCUAUGAAAAAAAAGUUUUAGCUGCCAUUAAUAGUUUUACUCUCAAACUAUUUCAUUUUCAUUUAAAAGAAACAAAAUACAUUACAACUCUGUUUGUAAAAUCAUUUAUGAAACAUAAGACCGG
This 225-nucleotide long non-coding RNA is filed under the name Capsella rubella. RNAcentral describes it as "long non-coding RNA (CRUB_LNC001245)". Lineage: Eukaryota; Viridiplantae; Streptophyta; Magnoliopsida; Brassicales; Brassicaceae. The record is from RNAcentral.